This 368-nucleotide long non-coding RNA is filed under the name Spirodela polyrhiza (greater duckweed). RNAcentral describes it as "long non-coding RNA (SPOL_LNC001321)". The record is from RNAcentral. Lineage: Eukaryota; Viridiplantae; Streptophyta; Magnoliopsida; Alismatales; Araceae.
AUAAACUUAAAACUUAAAGAAAUUAAAAAUAGUUAACAAAAUAUACUUUAGAAUGAUGAAAAUAGAUAAGAAAUAAGUAAAGAAAUGAGUAAAUCUAAGAAAAUAAAUUUAUUUUACAAAUCUAACAAGAAAAUAAUAAAAAUUGUAUUAAAAAUAAAACUUACAAUCUUUAGAAUACAUGACUUGAUGUCGACCUCUAGGUUCCACUUCUUAAUUUUGCAUUCAGUUUAACAAAAUAAAUUUAAGGUGAGAAGGUUAGAGGAGAAUGAUCAAAAUCAAUGAUGUAUUUUUCAAAUCUCUAUUUUCACAUUAAAAAAGAGUAACAAUAUUUUUUUCUCAAGAAUAACCAAAGAUAAUUUGAAAAAGGC